This 252-nucleotide ribosomal RNA is filed under the name uncultured bacterium. Its description in RNAcentral is "partial 16S ribosomal RNA". It matches the Rfam family "Bacterial small subunit ribosomal RNA", at positions 524 to 776 of the family's 1533-position model. The record is from RNAcentral.
UACGGAGGAUGCGAGCGUUAUCCGGAUUUAUUGGGUUUAAAGGGUGCGUAGGCGGGCUUUUAAGUCAGCGGUAAAAAUUCGGGGCUCAACCCCGUCCGGCCGUUGAAACUGGGGGUCUUGAGUGGGCGAGAAGAAGGCGGAAUGCGUGGUGUAGCGGUGAAAUGCAUAGAUAUCACGCAAAACCCCGAUUGCGAAGGCAGCCUUCCGGCGCCCUACUGACGCUGAGGCACGAAAGUGCGGGGAUCGAACAGG